GAUCAUGGCUCAGGAUGAACGCUAGCUACAGGCUUAACACAUGCAAGUCGAACGAAAAGACGGAAAGAGCUUGCUCUUUUCAGAAUUGAGUGGCAAACGGGUGAGUAACACGUAAACAACCUGCCUUCAGGAUGGGGACAACAGACGGAAACGACUGCUAAUACCGAAUAAGUUCCAAGAGCCGCAUGGCCCAUGGAAGAAAAGGUGGCCUCUACCUGUAAGCUAUCGCCUGAAGAGGGGUUUGCGU
This 247-nucleotide ribosomal RNA is filed under the name uncultured bacterium. RNAcentral's name for it is "partial 16S ribosomal RNA". It matches the Rfam family "Bacterial small subunit ribosomal RNA", at positions 15 to 236 of the family's 1533-position model. The record is from RNAcentral.